This 30-nucleotide non-coding RNA is filed under the name Mus musculus (house mouse). Lineage: Eukaryota; Metazoa; Chordata; Mammalia; Rodentia; Muridae. The record is from RNAcentral.
UCAAAACUGUCACUACAGCUGAUGUUGUCC